GAGUUUGAUCAUGGCUCAGAUUGAACGCUGGCGGCAGGCUUAACACAUGCAAGUCGAGCGGUAGCACAGGGGAGCUUGCUCCCCGGGUGACGAGCGGCGGACGGGUGAGUAAUGUCUGGGAAACUGCCUGAUGGAGGGGGAUAACUACUGGAAACGGUAGCUAAUACCGCAUAACGUCGCAAGACCAAAGAGGGGGACCUUCGGGCCUCUUGCCAUCAGAUGUGCCCAGAUGGGAUUAGCUAGUAGGUGGGGUAAUGGCUCACCUAGGCGACGAUCCCUAGCUGGUCUGAGAGGAUGACCAGCCACACUGGAACUGAGACACGGUCCAGACUCCUACGGGAGGCAGCAGUGGGGAAUAUUGCACAAUGGGCGCAAGCCUGAUGCAGCCAUGCCGCGUGUGUGAAGAAGGCCUUCGGGUUGUAAAGCACUUUCAGCGAGGAGGAAGGUGGUGAGCUUAAUACGCUCUCAAUGACG
RNAcentral lists this ribosomal RNA (474 nucleotides) under Serratia marcescens. Its description in RNAcentral is "bacterial SSU rRNA". It matches the Rfam family "Bacterial small subunit ribosomal RNA", at positions 9 to 474 of the family's 1533-position model. The record is from RNAcentral. Lineage: Bacteria; Pseudomonadati; Pseudomonadota; Gammaproteobacteria; Enterobacterales; Yersiniaceae.